This 253-nucleotide ribosomal RNA is filed under the name uncultured bacterium. Its description in RNAcentral is "partial 16S ribosomal RNA". It matches the Rfam family "Bacterial small subunit ribosomal RNA", at positions 524 to 776 of the family's 1533-position model. The record is from RNAcentral.
UACAGAGGGUGCGAGCGUUAGUCGGAAUUACUGGGCGUAAAGCGUGCGUAGACGGUAGCGUAAGUCAGAUGUGAAAGCCCCGGGCUCAACCUGGGAAUUGCAUUUGAGACUGCUCUGCUCGGGUGCGGAAGAGGGAAGCGGAAUUUCCGGUGUAGCGGUGAAAUGCGUAGAUAUCGGAAGGAACACCAGUGGCGAAAGCGGCUUCCUGGUCCGACACCGACGUUCAGGCACGAAAGCGUGGGGAGCAAACAGG